This 729-nucleotide long non-coding RNA is filed under the name Cottoperca gobio. RNAcentral's name for it is "lncRNA (ENSCGOG00000020258.1)". The record is from RNAcentral. Lineage: Eukaryota; Metazoa; Chordata; Actinopteri; Perciformes; Bovichtidae.
CACAGAAGACCUGGCAAACCACGCCCCUUUCCACUGACACUGAACUCAAUUGAAGCACACUGUUUAAUUCCGUCGUUGUGGUGAAUUUAUCAGCGUGUUGGCCUACAAACACACAGCCAAAAAACAACAACAAAUGAGGUUAGUUAUGCAGCUUUAGUGUCAAAAAAGCGUUCAUGUCUUAAAUCUGGAAAACAACAUUGAAAACUGCUGAUAAAGAGCAACAGACGCCUGACCAAAACAAACUUUCCAAGUAACUCCAAUUAGCAACACCUGUGUCAUUCAGGCACACUGGGCUAACCUCCAUAAACAUGUUGAUUCCUCGAAGAGGUAAAAAGGACAUAAGGUGAGGGUUCCAUGGAAAAGAUGACUGGAAGGAUACAAAGGCUUGGAGAAGGCCGCCCCCUGCCGCCACUGAGGACAACUACACUAAUACAGACAAGAGCGCCUCAACAGUUACACACUCAAGAGUUGGGGUUUUGCCGUAUGCAACUAGCUACCAUCUCCAACGCUUGUGCAAAACAGAAAAGAAGACUGGUAAGUCAGGAGCCGGACACAAGGGUGAACGGUGUGCCGAGAGCUGGAGAGACCCGGGACGAUGGAAAGAGGACGGAGGGUCGGAUCACCUCGCCCACAGAGUCCUCUCACCUCGACACACUGAGCAGGGGGACUGAAGUAUGCCAAUAUGGCCAGCUUUCAAGCAAUCACCCCUUGAAGCUCUCCCUGUGGUGA